AGAGUUUGAUCAUGGCUCAGAUUGAACGCUGGCGGCAGGCCUAACACAUGCAAGUCGAACGGUAACAGGAAGCAGCUUGCUGCUUCGCUGACGAGUGGCGGACGGGUGAGUAAUGUCUGGGAAGCUGCCUGAUGGAGGGGGAUAACUACUGGAAACGGUAGCUAAUACCGCAUAAUGUCGCAAGACCAAAGAGGGGGACCUUCGGGCCUCUUGCCAUCGGAUGUGCCCAGAUGGGAUUAGCUUGUUGGUGGGGUAACGGCUCACCAAGGCGACGAUCCCUAGCUGGUCUGAGAGGAUGACCAGCCACACUGGAACUGAGACACGGUCCAGACUCCUACGGGAGGCAGCAGUGGGGAAUAUUGCACAAUGGGCGCAAGCCUGAUGCAGCCAUGCCGCGUGUAUGAAGAAGGCCUUCGGGUUGUAAAGUACUUUCAGCGGGGAGGAAGGGAGUAAAGUUAAUACCUUUGCUCAUUGACGUUACCCGCAGAAGAAGCACCGGCUAACUCCGUGCCAGCAGCCGCGGUAAUACGGAGGGUGCAAGCGUUAAUCGGAAUUACUGGGCGUAAAGCGCACGCAGGCGGUUUGUUAAGUCAGAUGUGAAAUCCCCGGGCUCAACCUGGGAACUGCAUCUGAUACUGGCAAGCUUGAGUCUCGUAGAGGGGGGUAGAAUUCCAGGUGUAGCGGUGAAAUGCGUAGAGAUCUGGAGGAAUACCGGUGGCGAAGGCGGCCCCCUGGACGAAGACUGACGCUCAGGUGCGAAAGCGUGGGGAGCAAACAGGAUUGGAUACCCUGGUAGUCCACGCCGUAAACGAUGUCGACUUGGAGGUUGUGCCCUUGAGGCGUGGCUUCCGGAGCUAACGCGUUAAGUCGACCGCCUGGGGAGUACGGCCGCAAGGUUAAAACUCAAAUGAAUUGACGGGGGCCCGCACAAGCGGUGGAGCAUGUGGUUUAAUUCGAUGCAACGCGAAGAACCUUACCUGGUCUUGACAUCCACGGAAGUUUUCAGAGAUGAGAAUGUGCCUUCGGGAACCGUGAGACAGGUGCUGCAUGGCUGUCGUCAGCUCGUGUUGUGAAAUGUUGGGUUAAGUCCCGCAACGAGCGCAACCCUUAUCCUUUGUUGCCAGCGGUCCGGCCGGGAACUCAAAGGAGACUGCCAGUGAUAAACUGGAGGAAGGUGGGGAUGACGUCAAGUCAUCAUGGCCCUUACGACCAGGGCUACACACGUGCUACAAUGGCGCAUACAAAGAGAAGCGACCUCGCGAGAGCAAGCGGACCUCAUAAAGUGCGUCGUAGUCCGGAUUGGAGUCUGCAACUCGACUCCAUGAAGUCGGAAUCGCUAGUAAUCGUGGAUCAGAAUGCCACGGUGAAUACGUUCCCGGGCCUUGUACACACCGCCCGUCACACCAUGGGAGUGGGUUGCAAAAGAAGUAGGUAGCUUAACCUUCGGGAGGGCGCUUACCACUUUGUGAUUCAUGACUGGGGUGAAGUCGGAACAAGGUAACCGUAGGGGAACCUGCGGUUG
RNAcentral lists this ribosomal RNA (1522 nucleotides) under metagenome. RNAcentral describes it as "bacterial SSU rRNA". It matches the Rfam family "Bacterial small subunit ribosomal RNA". The record is from RNAcentral.